This 504-nucleotide ribosomal RNA is filed under the name Peribacillus simplex. RNAcentral describes it as "bacterial SSU rRNA". It matches the Rfam family "Bacterial small subunit ribosomal RNA", at positions 23 to 510 of the family's 1533-position model. Lineage: Bacteria; Bacillati; Bacillota; Bacilli; Caryophanales; Bacillaceae. The record is from RNAcentral.
CUCAGGACGAACGCUGGCGGCGUGCCUAAUACAUGCAAGUCGAGCGAAUCGAUGGGAGCUUGCUCCCUGAGAUUAGCGGCGGACGGGUGAGUAACACGUGGGCAACCUGCCUAUAAGACUGGGAUAACUUCGGGAAACCGGAGCUAAUACCGGAUACGUUCUUUUCUCGCAUGAGAGAAGAUGGAAAGACGGUUUCGGCUGUCACUUAUAGAUGGGCCCGCGGCGCAUUAGCUAGUUGGUGAGGUAAUGGCUCACCAAGGCGACGAUGCGUAGCCGACCUGAGAGGGUGAUCGGCCACACUGGGACUGAGACACGGCCCAGACUCCUACGGGAGGCAGCAGUAGGGAAUCUUCCGCAAUGGACGAAAGUCUGACGGAGCAACGCCGCGUGAACGAAGAAGGCCUUCGGGUCGUAAAGUUCUGUUGUUAGGGAAGAACAAGUACCAGAGUAACUGCUGGUACCUUGACGGUACCUAACCAGAAAGCCACGGCUAACUACGUGCCA